This 90-nucleotide non-coding RNA is filed under the name Pseudomonadota bacterium. Its description in RNAcentral is "Proteobacteria bacterium Glycine sequence". It matches the Rfam family "Glycine riboswitch aptamer". Rfam says of the family: This family represents the bacterial glycine riboswitch. Glycine riboswitches usually consist of two metabolite-binding aptamers domains with similar structures in tandem. Lineage: Bacteria; Pseudomonadati; Pseudomonadota. The record is from RNAcentral.
CUAGAUCGCGCUGGGAGAGACCGGCUUCGUGCCGGCGCCGAAGGAGCAACCGCCCCGGAAACUCUCAGGCAAAAGGACCGCGCGAUCACU